This 465-nucleotide ribosomal RNA is filed under the name uncultured bacterium. RNAcentral's name for it is "partial 16S ribosomal RNA". It matches the Rfam family "Bacterial small subunit ribosomal RNA", at positions 338 to 795 of the family's 1533-position model. The record is from RNAcentral.
CCUACGGGAGACAGCAGUAGGGAAUUUUCGUCAAUGGGCGCAAGCCUGAACGAGCAAUGCCGCGUGAACGAGGAAGGUCUUCGGAUCGUAAAGUUCUGUUGAAGGGGAAAAAGAGCGGAUAGAGGAAAUGGACUCCGAUUGAUCUUACCCUUCGAGGAAGUCACGGCUAACUACGUGCCAGCAGCCGCGGUAAUACGUAGGUGGCGAGCGUUAUCCGGAAUGAUUGGGCGUAAAGGGUGCGUAGGCGGCCUGCUAAGUCUGGAGUGAAAGGUACCGGCUCAACCGGUACAGGCUCUGGAGACUGGCGGGCUAGAGAGCAGGAGAGGGCGGGGGAAAUCCAUGUGUAGCGGGAAAAUGCGUAGAUAUAUGGAAGAACACCAGUGGCGAAGGCGGCCGCCUGGCCUGGUGACUGACGCUGAGGCACGAAAGCGUGGGGAGCAAAUAGGAUUAGAUACCCCUGUAGUC